This 496-nucleotide ribosomal RNA is filed under the name uncultured bacterium. Its description in RNAcentral is "partial 16S ribosomal RNA". It matches the Rfam family "Bacterial small subunit ribosomal RNA", at positions 29 to 507 of the family's 1533-position model. The record is from RNAcentral.
AUGAACGCUGGCGGCGUGCCUAAUACAUGCAAGUCGAGCGAACAGACGAGGAGCUUGCUCCUCUGACGUUAGCGGCGGACGGGUGAGUAACACGUGGAUAACCUACCUAUAAGACUGGGAUAACUUCGGGAAACCGGAGCUAAUACCGGAUAAUAUAUUGAACCGCAUGGUUCAAUAGUGAAAGACGGUUUUGCUGUCACUUAUAGAUGGAUCCGCGCCGCAUUAGCUAGUUGGUAAGGUAACGGCUUACCAAGGCAACGAUGCGUAGCCGACCUGAGAGGGUGAUCGGCCACACUGGAACUGAGACACGGUCCAGACUCCUACGGGAGGCAGCAGUAGGGAAUCUUCCGCAAUGGGCGAAAACUUGACGGAGCAACGCCGCGUGAGUGAUGAAGGUCUUCGGAUCGUAAAACUCUGUUAUUAGGGAAGAACAAAUGUGUAAGUAACUAUGCACGUCUUGACGGUACCUAAUCAGAAAGCCACGGCUAACUACGUG